Molecule: ribosomal RNA, 468 nt
Filed under: uncultured bacterium
Lineage: Bacteria
Description: partial 16S ribosomal RNA
Rfam family: Bacterial small subunit ribosomal RNA
Source: RNAcentral
GACGAACGCUGGCGGCGUGCUUAACACAUGCAAGUCGAACGGAAAGGCCCUGCUUUUGUGGGGUGCUCGAGUGGCGAACGGGUGAGUAACACGAGAGUAACCUGCCCUUGACGUUGGGAUAACGUCAGGAAACCGGGGCUAAUACCGGAUAUGAGCUUCUGCUGCAUGGUGGGGGUUGGAAAGUUGAGGCGGUGGUGGAUGGACGCGCGGAUUAUGAUCUUGUUGGUGGGGUAGUGGCAUACCAAGGCUUUGACGGGUAGCCGGCCUGAGAGGGUGGCCGGCGACAUUGGGACUGAGAUACGGAGCAGAGGGCUACGGGAGGCAGCAGUGGGGAGUAUGGCACAGUGGGCGGGAGCGUGAUGCAGCAGCGUCGGGUUCGGGAUGAGGGCCUGCGGGGUGUAAAACGAUUUCGGCUAUGACGAAGCGUGAAUGACGGUAACGGAUAAAGAAGCACCGGCUAACUACGUG